This is a non-coding RNA of Myodes glareolus (Bank vole), 1954 nucleotides long. The record is from RefSeq and is a predicted model, not a curated record. NCBI's taxonomy places the organism in Eukaryota, Metazoa, Chordata, Mammalia, Rodentia, Cricetidae.
CCUCCUGCUGGCUUUAAUGUUUGUUCCUUGAAAUUAAGCAUCUUUCUUGUUUUCUAGGACCCAGUUGGGGGGUCAUCUAACUCUGGAAGCACAUGAGCACACCCCACAGCUGACUGCAAGGCUCUCGUUACCCAUCAGUUCAUUUUCUCCACACUGUCACAUUUAAGGUGGAUGCACCGCUUUUCCUGAGUCCUAGGAAGAGGUCUGACUUGCAGGUGCCACAUGUCUCAUGUCACACAUGGAAAGGCAGCUUUGAGCCUAGGAUUAUGGCUUCCCCAAUAUUCACGCUCUAGGAGCCGUCUCAUCAGGAUUGUCUUCCCCAGCAUUGGAGCUUAGUUCUGAAGAGCAGCGUCAAUUUUCACUUCUCUGUGAGUCCUACAGAAGAGAUGAGCACGGCCAAUCGGUGGGUCAGAGUCCAAGUUGUACCCAGACCCAUCUCAGACCAGGGCACAUCUUAUUCCUUUCUAAUAAGAGACAAGGGAUCCUAGACAAAACUAGCUCCUACCAAGGUGUUGACAGCCUCAGGGUGUUCCUCGAAGAAAGGCAUCCAAGUAUUCACUGGACAGGGUAUAUUGGAUGGGACUUCUUGUCACCCUGCAAUUGAUGAGGUGGAGGACUCCAUGUUCCAUUAACAGCAAGAUUGGCUUCAUGGGCUGAUGACUUUUUUUUUUUUUGCGCUAAAUGGACAGAGCUGGAGAAGAGACCUAUUACCAAAUCUUAAGGCCAUGAAGCAUGGAAUGCUGAGGAAAGGGCAAGAAAAAGGAGGUGGCUGGAGAUAUCCUAUAUGUACGACUUGAUAUGAGGUGACUGAGGGAGCCACUAGGUAUGAGAUGGUGUGAGAUAGUUGGGGAAGUCAACAUGUAUGAGCUGAUGUGAGGUGGCUGAGGAAGCCACCAGGCAUGAGAUGAUGUAAGAAGCCCAUGAUGCAGCAGCCUGCCAGUUUCACACAGGGGGCUCAGGACAAAUGCCUUCUAUCCCCCAUCACAUGAUCUUGUAUAAUGCAAUCCAAUGGCAGAUACAACCUUAUGGCAACGUUUCCACAAAUAUUUAAGCAGUCAACAUAUCUAUUGAACCCUAAUAUGGUCCAUGUGUUGGAGCACAUAUGACUUUUAAAAUCAGGAAAAGCAAAUAAUAGAGGCAAAGGACAGUAAAUAACAGCAUAAGAAGAAACGAAUGGCACAUGACUCUGGCUUCACCAGCUGCUCUACCCCAGAAUUAACCCAGCAAAAGCUUCUCCAGAGAAGGGCCGGUUGAACUAAGACAAAUGAAAGAUGUGGCUGAAAUCUGUCUGGGCAUAACUGAAAAUAAAACCGCAUCAGAAUGAUCUACAAUGGACUUAACCGGCACCAUCAUGUUACUGCCGAAUUUUAACUAAGAACCAAAAUGGUUAGUUCCUGCCAGAACAUGACUUACUGAGGAAUGAAUACGGGGUAAAACUUCAGGCAAACAGACAAAAGGUGCAUCUCCGAAGACGGCAGCGUGGCACAAAUGUGCACAGUGAAGAGAGCCCCUGGGAGAAGACCCGCUCCUGGACACAUCACAUGUGGAGGGACAUCAUCUGGUCUGCAGCUGGAGGGUGUGCCGACCAAACAGGUGCUGGGCGACCUCUGAGGAGGCCUCACCUCCUUUUGUGCCAUUACAUAGCUAUAGAGAGAGAACGAUAUUUCCAAGAACUGCAAGAUAGAAGGAACUGGUCAAAGGUAACAGAGAAAGACUCUGAAACACAUUUUGAUCGAAGACACAUCGGACAUCUACCGAGAUAACAGGACCGUAAUGUGCACCACUGUGGGUGAGAAUGUCAGGCGUCAGAGGUGGAGAACCAGAUGAAAAGAUUGACUGAGACAUCCUAACCAAUCCCCAUAGCCCCCUUGAUGAUCAAGCACAGACCUGGAACUCACCAUUAGGCCACUUCCCUUCUCCCAAACCUCUCAGUAAGCACUGUGCACACAGUAAU